GAUGAACGCUGGCGGCGUGCCUAAUACAUGCAAGUCGAGCGAACAGACGAGGAGCUUGCUCCUCUGACGUUAGCGGCGGACGGGUGAGUAACACGUGGAUAACCUACCUAUAAGACUGGGAUAACUUCGGGAAACCGGAGCUAAUACCGGAUAAUAUAUUGAACCGCAUGGUUCAAUAGUGAAAGACGGUUUUGCUGUCACUUAUAGAUGGAUCCGCGCCGCAUUAGCUAGUUGGUAAGGUAACGGCUUACCAAGGCAACGAUGCGUAGCCGACCUGAGAGGGUGCUGGGCCACAAGGAAAGUGAGAGACGGACCAGACACCGACGGGAGGCAGCAGUAGGGAAUCUUGCGCAAUGGGCGAAAGCCUGACGAAGCAACGACGCGUGAGUGAAGAAGGUCUUCGGAUCGUAAAACUCUGUUAUUAGGGAAGAACAAAUGUGUAAGUAACUAUGCACGUCUGGACGGUACCUAAACAGAAGGCCACGGCUAACUCCUG
This 496-nucleotide ribosomal RNA is filed under the name uncultured bacterium. RNAcentral's name for it is "partial 16S ribosomal RNA". It matches the Rfam family "Bacterial small subunit ribosomal RNA", at positions 28 to 506 of the family's 1533-position model. The record is from RNAcentral.